This 93-nucleotide transfer RNA is filed under the name Clostridium sp. CAG:678. RNAcentral describes it as "transfer RNA-Ser(GGA)". It matches the Rfam family "tRNA". Rfam says of the family: Transfer RNA (tRNA) molecules are approximately 80 nucleotides in length. Their secondary structure includes four short double-helical elements and three loops (D, anti-codon, and T loops). Further hydrogen bonds mediate the characteristic L-shaped molecular structure. tRNAs have two regions of fundamental functional importance: the anti-codon, which is responsible for specific mRNA codon recognition, and the 3' end, to which the tRNAs corresponding amino acid is attached (by aminoacyl-tRNA synthetases). tRNAs cope with the degeneracy of the genetic code in two manners: having more than one tRNA (with a specific anti-codon) for a particular amino acid; and 'wobble' base-pairing, i.e. permitting non-standard base-pairing at the 3rd anti-codon position. The record is from RNAcentral. RNAcentral also lists the same sequence under 1 other name. Lineage: Bacteria; Bacillati; Bacillota; Clostridia; Eubacteriales; Clostridiaceae.
GCAGAUGUGUCCGAGCUGGCCGAAGGAGCACGAUUGGAAAUCGUGUAAACGGCAACCACCGUUUCAAGAGUUCGAAUCUCUUCAUCUGCGCCA